RNAcentral lists this ribosomal RNA (2026 nucleotides) under human gut metagenome. RNAcentral's name for it is "bacterial LSU rRNA". It matches the Rfam family "Bacterial large subunit ribosomal RNA", at positions 3 to 2062 of the family's 2925-position model. The record is from RNAcentral.
UCAAGCGAAGAAGGGCGCAGGGCGGAUGCCUUGGCACUGAGAGCCGAUGAAAGACGUGAUAAGCUGCGAUAAGCUUCGGGGAGGAGCAAAUAUCCUUUGAUCCGGAGAUCUCUGAAUGGGGAAACCCGGCUGUAUGGACUACAGUCAUCCAUAAGUGAAUCCAUAGCUUAUGGAAGGGAACCCGGGGAACUGAAACAUCUAAGUACCCGGAGGAAGAGAAAGAAACAUCGAUUCCGUAAGUAGCGGCGAGCGAACGCGGAAGAGCCCAAACCGUGAUGCGUGCAUCGCGGGGUUCGGACUGCAGAAGGGAUUCAGCAACGACAGGAGAACGGCUUUGGAACAGCCGGCCAGAGAGGGUGAGAGCCCCGUAUCCAAAGUCAGAGCUGACCUGGCAGGAUCCAGAGUACCACGGGACACGGGAAACCCUGUGGGAAGGAGCGGAGACCACUCCGUAAGGCUAAAUACUACUCAGUGACCGAUAGCGUAUAGUACUGUGAAGGAAAGGUGAAAAGAACCCCGGGAGGGGAGUGAAAGAGAACCUGAAACCCUGUGUCUACAAGCUGUGGAAGUACUUCUUAGGUACGACCGCGUACUUUUUGUAGAACGGUCCGGCGAGCUGCGGGUACUGGCAAGGUUAAGUACUUAAGGUACGGAGCCGUAGGGAAACCAAGUCUUAAUAGGGCGAAUCAGUCAGUACGUGCAGGCCCGAAACCGGGUGACCUAUCCAUGUCCAGGUUGAAGCCGCCGUAAAAGGCGAUGGAGGACCGAACCCACAUCCGUUGAAAAGGGUGGGGAUGAGGUGUGGAUAGCGGAGAAAUUCCAAUCGAACCCGGAGAUAGCUGGUUCUCCUCGAAAUAGCUUUAGGGCUAGCCUCAUACAAGUCUGCCGGAGGUAGAGCACUGAAUUUCCGCGGGGGCGUCAAAGCCUACCAAAGAAUAUCAAACUCCGAAUGCCGGACAGAUGGUGUAUGGGAGUCAGACUGUACGAGAUAAGUUGGACAGUCAAAAGGGAAAGAGCCCAGACCGCCGGCUAAGGUCCCAAAGUGGGUGUUAAGUGGAAAAGGAUGUGGGAUCUCUAAGACAACCAGGAUGUUGGCUCAGAAGCAGCCAUUCAUUAAAAGAGUGCGUAACAGCUCACUGGUCGAGAGGUCCUGCGCCGAAAAUGUCCGGGGCUGAAACACCACACCGAAGCCGCGGAACUCGUAAGAGUUGGUAGAGGAGCAUUCUUAGGGGAGGGAAGCAUUACCGGAAGGGGAUGUGGACUGCUAAGAAGAGAGAAUGCCGGAAUGAGUAGCGAGAGCAAGGUGGGAAUCCUUGCGGCCGAAUAUCCAAGGUUUCCAGAGUAAAGCUGAUCUGCUCUGGGUAAGUCGGGGCCUAAGGAGAGGCAGAGAUGCGUAUCCGAUGGACAGCAGGUAAAAGAUUCCUGCACCCCUUGUUAUCAGAACUGCGGGGACACGGGAAGGGAAGCAGAGCUGGGAAUGGAAAGCCCGGUGCAAGCGAAGUAGUCGCAGGAUUGGAAAAUCCGUCCUGCAUAAGACGAAGGCGUGAUGCGGAGCGAAACAAAGUAGCGAAGCUGCGGCCCCUUCCUGUCGAGAAAAGCCGCUAUCGUGUAGCAAGGGCCCGUACCGUAAACCGACACAGGUGGAUGAGGAGAGGAUCCUAAGGCCGGCGGGAGAAGUGUUGUUAAGGAACUCGGCAAAAUGACUCCGUAUCUUCGGGAGAAGGAGUGCUGCGCAAGCAGCCGCAGUGAAAUGGCCCAAGCAACUGUUUAGCAAAAACACAGGUCUAUGCGAAACCGAAAGGAGAUGUAUAUGGGCUGACGCCUGCCCGGUGCUGGAAGGUUAAGGGGAGAGCUUAGCGCAAGCGAAGGUUUGAACUUAAGCCCCAGUAAACGGCGGCCGUAACUAUAACGGUCCUAAGGUAGCGAAAUUCCUUGUCGGGUAAGUUCCGACCCGCACGAAAGGCGUAAUGAUUUGGGCACUGUCUCAACAACACACCCGGUGAAAUUGAAAUACCAGUGAAGAUGC